UGGGGGGAUUAGUGGCGAACGGGUGAGUAACACGUGAGUAACCUGCCCUUGACUCUGGGAUAAGCCUGGGAAACCGGGUCUAAUACUGGAUACGACCUUCCCGCGCAUGCGGUGUUGGUGGAAAGCUUUUGCGGUUUUGGAUGGACUCGCGGCCUAUCAGCUUGUUGGUGGGGUAAUGGCCUACCAAGGCGACGACGGGUAGCCGGCCUGAGAGGGUGACCGGCCACACUGGGACUGAGACACGGCCCAGACUCCUACGGGAGGCAGCAGUGGGGAAUAUUGCACAAUGGGCGCAAGCCUGAUGCAGCGACGCCGCGUGAGGGAUGAAGGCCUUCGGGUUGUAAACCUCUUUCAGUAGGGAAGAAGCCGAUCUUCUGGGUUGGUGACGGUACCUGCAGAAGAAGCGCCGGCUAACUACGUGCCAGCAGCCGCGGUAAUACGUAGGGCGCAAGCGUUAUCCGGAAUUAUUGGGCGUAAAGAGCUCGUAGGCGGUUUGUCGCGUCUGCCGUGAAAGUUCCGGGGCUUAACUCC
RNAcentral lists this ribosomal RNA (531 nucleotides) under Arthrobacter sp. N11. RNAcentral's name for it is "bacterial SSU rRNA". It matches the Rfam family "Bacterial small subunit ribosomal RNA", at positions 84 to 616 of the family's 1533-position model. Lineage: Bacteria; Bacillati; Actinomycetota; Actinomycetes; Micrococcales; Micrococcaceae. The record is from RNAcentral.